Molecule: ribosomal RNA, 253 nt
Filed under: uncultured bacterium
Lineage: Bacteria
Description: partial 16S ribosomal RNA
Rfam family: Bacterial small subunit ribosomal RNA
Source: RNAcentral
CACGUAGGGGACGAGCGUUGUCCGGAUUCAUUGGGCGUAAAGAGCGCGUAGGCGGCCUUCUAAGUCGAACGUGAAAUCCCCGGGCUCAACCCGGGAACUGCGUCCGAGACUGGAAGGCUUGAAUCCGGGAGAGGGAUGUGGAAUUCCAGGUGUAGCGGUGAAAUGCGUGGAUAUCUGGAGGAACAUCGGUGGCGAAGGCGGCAUCCUGGACCGGUAUUGACGCUGAGGCGCGAAAGCCAGGGGAGCAAACGGG